GAGGUGGGCAAGUUAGUUGCUCCAAAAACAAGAUAAAAUGAUUGAGUUCUUUUCUCAAGCGGGAGUCGGAGUUUAUCUGCUCUGAGAGCCCCAGCAGCUACUAUUAAUGAGUGUCUGGAAUAUGUUCCUGGCAUUUCACCUACCCUCUCUCCAAUCCUUCCAAGAAACUCACAAAGCAGGGCUUUUUCUUGAACUUCUCUUCCUCACAACAGUUAAAUCAUCCAUUUAAAGAUGUCAAACAACCUCCGUGUUCUAAGAUGCUGGACCCCUGAAUAUGGAGGGCCAACUACACUAGAAACACACACGCUAGCUGAGAAAGAUGGUGGCUUAAGGGACACAGCAUGUACAACCUCACAUAGAGUUCCUGACCAGACAAGACUUGCUGGAAAUUUCCCAGGAUCUUCCUUCCUUAAGCAUCCAUCAUGGGAAGCCACCUUGCCCUAGGGAGAGCUCCUGACCUAGGGUCAGGAAUAUAUUAAGGAAGACAGCAAUUAAUACAUUCAAAAAUAAUAAUAAUUACAAAUUAUGUCUCUGUGUUAGGAAAACUUGGAUAAGCAGGUCCAUAGAAAUUCCUCUGCUAGCCCUGUCUCCUGGAAUUUCUACAUAAUGGCAUAUCCUCAGUUUGAAUAGCUCUCUGGUUCCAGUUUGAAGCUGAAAAGGUUAAAUUCUACCUGAAGGAUGAAAACAACCAACAUUCUGUGCCA
Molecule: long non-coding RNA, 704 nt
Filed under: Homo sapiens (human)
Lineage: Eukaryota; Metazoa; Chordata; Mammalia; Primates; Hominidae
Description: long intergenic non-protein coding RNA 472
Source: RNAcentral